AUUGCUUGAUAGAUGCAACAGCAUGCAGUCUUUCAACCGCAGUAAAAUGCAUGCUUACAAUUUUAUAUACGUAUUUUAAAUGCUCAAUAAUUACUUGCAAUUCUUUAUUCUUGUGAAUUAUGCUUAUGAUUAAAAAGCUAUUUAUAGAACUCAAGUUGUAAAACUACCAAACCUAUGAUAUGUUUCAUUCUGUGUACUUAAAGUUUAUCGUUCAUCAAGCAUCUGACUUUAUUUAUCGUGAUCAAAUUUUGAUUUCUUAUUUUCUCUCUCGUUCUUCGUUUUGUACUAGGGCAUUUCCCCACAGGAUUCAUAUUUGUAUCACAUAAUGGGAAUUCUGGCACUUGGAGGACUUGUGGGAUGUUUCAUGUAUCCAUGCUCUUGUUUGUUACCUUCCUUACAAGGGAAUCUCUUUCUUUUUAUCCAGGUUGUGGUGGUUUCCUUCUCAGUGGGACUUGGAGCUAUUCCUUAGAUCAUAAUGUCUGAGGUUCUCCCAGUGAACAUUAAGGGCCUUGCUGGCAGUGUUGCAACAUUGGCUGGCGUCCUGGCUUGUAACAAUGACUGCAAACUUGCUCAUGACUUGGAGCAGUGCAGGGACCUUCACUAUUUACACGGUGGUCAGUGCUUUCACUGUCAUUUUUGUGUCUCUGGGUCCCUGAAAGCAAAGGAAGAAUUCUAGAAGAAAUACAAUCGUCGUUCAGAUGGAAGUGUUUGCUCAACCAUAUGUGAGCUGGUUUGAUUUUAUUAGUGAAAAUUGAUUGAAAUGUACAUGUAUUUUUUUCCUUUUUUUUUUUU
This is a long non-coding RNA of Populus trichocarpa (black cottonwood), 792 nucleotides long. RefSeq lists it as uncharacterized. The record is from RefSeq and is a predicted model, not a curated record. The transcript is spliced from 3 exons. NCBI's taxonomy places the organism in Eukaryota, Viridiplantae, Streptophyta, Magnoliopsida, Malpighiales, Salicaceae.